UGGGGAAUUUUCCGCAAUGGGCGAAAGCCUGACGGAGCAAUACCGCGUGAGGGAUGAAAGCCUGUGGGUUGUAAACCUCUUUUCUCAAGGAAGAAAUUCUGACGGUACUUGAGGAAUAAGCAUCGGCUAACUCUGUGCCAGCAGCCGCGGUAAUACAGAGGAUGCAAGCGUUAUCCGGAAUCACUGGGCAUAAAGCGUCUGUAGGUCGCUUGCCAAGUCUGCUGUUAAAGAUCAGGGCCUAACCCUGGGAAAGCAGUGGAAACUAGCAAGCUUGAGUGUGGUAGAGGUAGAGGGAAUUCCUGGUGUAGCGGUGAAAUGCGUAGAUAUUAGGAAGAACACCAAUGGCGAAAGCACUCUACUGGGCCAUAACUGACACUGAGAGACGACAGCUAGGGGAGCAAAUGGG
This 406-nucleotide ribosomal RNA is filed under the name uncultured bacterium. RNAcentral describes it as "bacterial SSU rRNA". It matches the Rfam family "Bacterial small subunit ribosomal RNA", at positions 355 to 776 of the family's 1533-position model. The record is from RNAcentral.